ACACUGUACGAGUUUGAUCAUGGCUCAGAACGAACGCUGGCGGCAGGCUUAACACAUGCAAGUCGAACGCCCCGCAAGGGGAGUGGCAGACGGGUGAGUAACGCGUGGGAACGUACCUUUCAGUUCGGAAUAACUCAGGGAAACUUGUGCUAAUACCGGAUACGCCCGCAAGGGGAAAGAUUUAUCGCUGAAAGAUCGGCCCGCGUUGGAUUAGCUAGUUGGUGGGGUAAAGGCCUACCAAGGCGACGAUCCAUAGCUGGUCUGAGAGGAUGAUCAGCCACACUGGGACUGAGACACGGCCCAGACUCCUACGGGAGGCAGCAGUGGGGAAUAUUGGACAAUGGGCGCAAGCCUGAUCCAGCCAUGCCGCGUGUGUGAUGAAGGCCUUAGGGUUGUAAAGCACUUUCACCGAUGAAGAUAAUGACGGUAGUCGGAGAAGAAGCCCCGGCUAACUUCGUG
This 459-nucleotide ribosomal RNA is filed under the name uncultured bacterium. Its description in RNAcentral is "bacterial SSU rRNA". It matches the Rfam family "Bacterial small subunit ribosomal RNA", at positions 1 to 507 of the family's 1533-position model. The record is from RNAcentral.